UACGUAGGGAGCAAGCGUUGUCCGGAAUUACUGGGCGUAAAGGGCGCGUAGGUGGGCCUUUAAGUCAGGUGUGAAAACUCUGGGCUUAACCUGGAGACUGCACUUGAAACUGGGGGUCUUGAGGGCAGGAGAGGAAAGUGGAAUUCCUAGUGUAGCGGUGAAAUGCGUAGAUAUUAGGAGGAACACCAGUGGCGAAGGCGACUUUCUGGACUGAACCUGACGCUGAGGCGCGAAAGCGUGGGUAGCAAACG
Molecule: ribosomal RNA, 251 nt
Filed under: uncultured bacterium
Lineage: Bacteria
Description: partial 16S ribosomal RNA
Rfam family: Bacterial small subunit ribosomal RNA
Source: RNAcentral